UACGGAGGGUGCAAGCGUUAAUCGGAAUUACUGGGCGUAAAGCGCACGCAGGCGGAUGGAUAAGUUUGGUGUGAAAGCCCCGGGCUCAACCUGGGAAUUGCAUUUAAAACUGUUGAGCUAGAGGGUUGUAGAGGGGGGUAGAAUUCCAGGUGUAGCGGUGAAAUGCGUAGAGAUCUGGAGGAAUACCGGUGGCGAAGGCGGCCCCCUGGACAAAGACUGACGCUCAGGGGCGAAAGCGUGGGGAGCAAACAGG
This 253-nucleotide ribosomal RNA is filed under the name uncultured bacterium. Its description in RNAcentral is "partial 16S ribosomal RNA". It matches the Rfam family "Bacterial small subunit ribosomal RNA", at positions 524 to 776 of the family's 1533-position model. The record is from RNAcentral.